RNAcentral lists this non-coding RNA (104 nucleotides) under Legionella waltersii. Its description in RNAcentral is "TPP sequence". It matches the Rfam family "TPP riboswitch aptamer (THI element)". From Rfam's summary of the family: Vitamin B(1) in its active form thiamin pyrophosphate (TPP) is an essential coenzyme that is synthesised by coupling of pyrimidine and thiazole moieties in bacteria. The previously detected thiamin-regulatory element, thi box was extended, resulting in a new, highly conserved RNA secondary structure, the THI element, which is widely distributed in eubacteria and also occurs in some archaea. The record is from Rfam by way of RNAcentral. Lineage: Bacteria; Pseudomonadati; Pseudomonadota; Gammaproteobacteria; Legionellales; Legionellaceae.
UCUGUACAUUAGGGGUGCCAUUUUUAGGAGUGGCUGAGAGGACUAUCCAACCCUUCGAACCUGAUCUCAUUAGUCUGAGCGGAGGAAAAUGUGACUAUUAUUAC